CUGAUAAUUACCAUCUCAUACAUCAGUUUUCUCUCCCUGGUAAUAUAAUAGCGCAGCUAAUUUCCUGAGAGCUAUUACCCCCAGUACAGACCAACACACAGACAGUGUGAGGCUGACUGACAGCUCCAGUCCCAACCAGGCGAUGGGAGAAUUACUUGCUUGGCUGUGGUGCAUCCAACAGCGUGCCCUGAUCCCACAGAGCAGCCCUGGGCGGGAACCACACAAGAUAUUUUUUGGGGCCAGGAGGGACCAUUAGAUCAUCCGUUCUGGCCUCCUGCACAACACAUGCCGCAGAAUCUCAUCCAAAAAGCUUGUACUCUUAAGGGUCUGCAGCCUCGGUGUAUGAUAUCAAAACUGAAAUCAGGCCCAGCAGUGUUCUCCGCUAAACUGGGCCAAGAAGCAUAAUAAAGAUUUGGCCUUGCUAUAAAAAUGUGCCGUGCUGUACUGCUACUCUGCUUAUUCCAUGCUGGCUUCCGGGCUUCUAAUAAAGGAACAGGCAUUGGGCAAAGCACCCAGGGU
This is a long non-coding RNA of Gallus gallus (chicken), 519 nucleotides long. The record is from Ensembl. Lineage: Eukaryota; Metazoa; Chordata; Aves; Galliformes; Phasianidae.